AAUGUAGUAUAAGCAUGCCCCAGACAAUAUUUGGGACAUACUUAUGCUAAAA
RNAcentral lists this microRNA precursor (52 nucleotides) under Ailuropoda melanoleuca (giant panda). Its description in RNAcentral is "mir-1302". The record is from RNAcentral. Lineage: Eukaryota; Metazoa; Chordata; Mammalia; Carnivora; Ursidae.